GGAAAGGUAUUCGUCAAGGUAUAGGGACAUCUACUGGAGGUAAAAGAGUGAAAUAGUCUGUUGAAAUUGGUUCCUACUUCAUGCCUAAAACAACUCUUGGUGCUCAGCCAACUAUUAAAAGUGUGUUACAAAGCAAGGAGGCUAUAGAAAGGUGUGAUAUGGCUAUCUCAAGACGGAUGAUUGAUGCAUGCAUACCUUUCAAUUCUAUUAAUUCAAAAUAUUAUUAGCUUAUGACUGAUGCUAUAGCUAGUAUGGGUGCU
This 260-nucleotide unclassified non-coding RNA is filed under the name Hevea brasiliensis (rubber tree). The record is from RNAcentral. Lineage: Eukaryota; Viridiplantae; Streptophyta; Magnoliopsida; Malpighiales; Euphorbiaceae.